AGUGAACGCUGGCGGUAGGCCUAACACAUGCAAGUCGAACGGCAGCACAGGAGAGCUUGCUCUCUGGGUGGCGAGUGGCGGACGGGUGAGGAAUACAUCGGAAUCUGCCCAGUCGUGGGGGAUAACGUAGGGAAACUUACGCUAAUACCGCAUACGACCUUCGGGUGAAAGAGGGGGAUCGCAAGACCUCUCGCGAUUGGAUGAGCCGAUGCCGGAUUAGCUAGUUGGCGGGGUAAUGGCCCACCAAGGCGACGAUCCGUAGCUGGUCUGAGAGGAUGAUCAGCCACACUGGAACUGAGACACGGUCCAGACUCCUACGGGAGGCAGCAGUGGGGAAUAUUGGACAAUGGGCGCAAGCCUGAUCCAGCCAUACCGCGUGGGUGAAGAAGGCCUUCGGGUUGUAAAGCCCUUUUGUUGGGAAAGAAAUCUUUCAGGCUAAUACCCUGGGAGGAUGACGGUACCCAAAGAAUAAGCACCGGCUAACUUCGUG
RNAcentral lists this ribosomal RNA (490 nucleotides) under uncultured bacterium. RNAcentral describes it as "partial 16S ribosomal RNA". It matches the Rfam family "Bacterial small subunit ribosomal RNA", at positions 29 to 507 of the family's 1533-position model. The record is from RNAcentral.